UUGUCAGCGUGGGGUGCCGCAGGUGUUCGGUGGAGGCUGGAGGCCGCAGAUUGUGGGUCAGUGAAAUGCAUUCCUAAACAGUGAAAGGCUAAAGAUGUCUAGACAGAAUUUACUGGCUUUGACAGUGACCACCCUUUUGGGUGUGGCCAUGGGGGGAUUUGUCCUGUGGAAAGGCAUCCAGCGUAAAUGGAGUAAGACAAGCAGAGUGAUGCAGCCACAGCUGCAGCCACAACCACAGCAGCAGCAGCAGCCGCAGCCACAGCAGCAACAGCAGCCGCCACAGCAGGAGCAGCAGAAGCAGCAAGUGCCCGGUGCGAGGGAGUGGCCCCCUCCAGAAGAUGACCAGUUACCCUUUGGUGCCCUGAGAACACCCAGAGCUUCAUGGGAGGAGAGGAUACUCCAGGCAGAGGUGGUGACAGUUUCUCAGGAGGCAGAGUGGAAUCAAAUCCAGCCCUUUCUUAAAAGAGAGUUGGAAGAUUUUCCAGUACUUGGAAUUGACUGUGAAUGGGUGAAUUUGGAAGGCAAAGCCAGUCCUUUGUCACUCCUACAGAUGGCUUCCCCAAGUGGCUUCUGUGCAUUGGUUCGCUUGCCCAGGCUGAUAUAUGGAGGCAAAACACUACCCAGAACACUUUUGGACAUAUUGGCAGAUGGCACUAUCUUGAAAGUAGGAGUGGGAUGCUCAGAAGAUGCCAACAAACUUCUACAGGAUUAUGGCCUCAUUGUUAGGGGAUGUCUGGACCUCCGCUACCUAGCCAUGAAGCAGGGAAACAGUGUACUCUGUAAUGGGCUUAGCCUGAA
This 798-nucleotide long non-coding RNA is filed under the name Rattus norvegicus (Norway rat). RNAcentral describes it as "long non-coding RNA NONRATT024436". The record is from RNAcentral. Lineage: Eukaryota; Metazoa; Chordata; Mammalia; Rodentia; Muridae.